RNAcentral lists this ribosomal RNA (506 nucleotides) under uncultured bacterium. RNAcentral describes it as "partial 16S ribosomal RNA". It matches the Rfam family "Bacterial small subunit ribosomal RNA", at positions 29 to 523 of the family's 1533-position model. The record is from RNAcentral.
AGUGAACGCUGGCGGUAGGCCUAACACAUGCAAGUCGAACGGCAGCACAGGAGAGCUUGCUCUCUGGGUGGCGAGUGGCGGACGGGUGAGGAAUACGUCGGAAUCUACUCUGUCGUGGGGGAUAACGUAGGGAAACUUACGCUAAUACCGCAUACGACCUACGGGUGAAAGCAGGGGACCUUCGGGCCUUGCGCGAUUGAAUGAGCCGAUGUCGGAUUAGCUAGUUGGCGGGGUAAAGGCCCACCAAGGCGACGAUCCGUAGCUGGUCUGAGAGGAUGAUCAGCCACACUGGAACUGAGACACGGUCCAGACUCCUACCGGAGGCAGCAGUGGGGAAUAUUGGACAAUGGGCGCAAGCCUGAUCCAGCCAUACCGCGUGGGUGAAGAAGGCCUUCGGGUUGUAAAGCCCUUUUGUUGGGAAAGAAAUCCAGCUGGCUAAUACCCGGUUGGGAUGACGGUACCCAGAGAAUAAGCACCGGCUAACUUCGUGCCAGCCGCCGCGGUAA